RNAcentral lists this non-coding RNA (840 nucleotides) under Trichomonas vaginalis G3. RNAcentral's name for it is "Eukaryotic large subunit ribosomal RNA". It matches the Rfam family "Eukaryotic large subunit ribosomal RNA", at positions 131 to 1250 of the family's 3401-position model. The record is from Rfam by way of RNAcentral. Lineage: Eukaryota; Parabasalia; Trichomonadida; Trichomonadidae.
UUAAUCCCGCAAGGGAAAUGUAGUCGGUUCACCUAUUGCACUGGUCUAAGUCAGAUGGAAUGCUGCGCGAUUCAGAGUAAAAGCCUCGUAUGACCAACCGCAAGCUUACGAUGGACCGGGGAGAGUCGGAUACUUUGAGAGUAGUGUCUUAAGGGGGUGGUAUGUCCCAUCCAAGGCUAAAUAACGUGAGGAGACCGAUAGAUUACAAGUAGUGUGAACGAAAGAUGAAAAGAACUCUAAAACAGAGGGUGAAAAGUUCCUGAACUUGCUUAGGGUUAAGGCUAUUUAUAGUACCCGUCUUGAAACACGGAUUAGGGAGUUUAUCUGUAGUGCGAGUCUUUGCACGUUAACUGUAAAGGCGUAGAGAAAGCAACUGGCGUUUGCAUGGCUACUGAGCAUUACUGAUAGGACCCGAAAGGUGGUGAACUUUGCCUGCACAGGUUGAAGUCAGGGGAAACUCUGAUGGAGGACCGUACGGGUUAUUGAUGUGCAAAUCAUUUUUCUGAUGUAGGUAAAGGUGCGAAAGACUCAUCGAACCACCUAAUAGCUGGUUUCCUCCGAAGUUUCCCUCAGGAUAGCUGUAAUGCAUUUAGUUAAGGGGAGUAGAGAUAUGGGUAGAGGUGCAGGGAGCCUUCGGGUUCUCAACUUAUUUCCAAACUUCGAACCUCCUUGUUAGGCAUUUACCUAACUGGAAAUGCUUAAAUGAAUUAGCGUUACAAGUGGGCUCUGACCGGUAAGCGGUCAUGGCGAAAUGGGAUGAACCAUACGUCUGAAUAAGGUGCCGAAAUGUACUAUCACUGAUACCAUAAAGGGAGUCCAGUAUUUAGACAGCAGGUCGUG